AAGUCGUAACAAGGUUUCCGUAGGUGAACCUGCGGAAGGAUCAUUAUUAAUACUUGGUUAACACCAGUAAUUCAUGUGCAAAACAACCUGACGCUGCCAGUACUUGUCCUGGUGUCUGCCCUCGGGUAGGCAUCAGUCAUACCUGGCAGCAGCCCUCUUUGACUUGUCAUUGUGGGCAAAUCAGGCUCUCCUCAAACUUUCGGGUAAGAGGAAGCCUGCAACUUUUAUACAUCACUCUUGAAAAUCCGUCACCAGGGAGUCGCUGCAAGGCACUACCUGCUCUGACAAUGAAAGGGUAAAAAACUUUUAGCAACGGAUCUCUAGGCUCUC
This 330-nucleotide unclassified non-coding RNA is filed under the name fungal sp. RNAcentral's name for it is "partial internal transcribed spacer region". The stretch from base 1 to 46 matches the Rfam family "Eukaryotic small subunit ribosomal RNA", at positions 1786 to 1831 of the family's 1831-position model. Lineage: Eukaryota; Fungi. The record is from RNAcentral.